GGGAAUGAAAUAGUGAGUCGGAUUAGUGGUUGUCCUUUCAUUCUCAAUUGCAUUGGUGACUUAGAAUGGAAGCUAUGAUUCCUUAUUGUGGUCACCAGUUUGCCGUUUAUGCUUGGAAUUCUUUACCAAAAUGUCCCUGACCUGGGAUUUAGAUCAAACUGUAUUUUUGUCGCCAUCACUGCUAGCAAAGAUUGUGAAAUGAUUGCGAGUGACAACUUUGAUCGAUAAAGAUUUGAGUCGAAGAGCAAUGUCUUGUAGCGUGCAUUCACAAUUGAAAUGCUGUUUUUAGAAUGGAAAUAACAUAAUCCAUUAAUGUGUCCAGAUUUCAAUCCAAAAUGUGGUGUAAGCCAGCUAUUCUUGCAUUUUACUCUUUGGUGUUUUCCUUGCGAAUCUUUUGAAAGUUUGUGUGUGUUUGUGUCUGUUUGUCUGGAAUUGCUUUUAUUACUGUCUACUGAUAGAACUUUGCAUUUCCUUUUCAGGUCACACCAAAUGCCCAUUUC
This 500-nucleotide unclassified non-coding RNA is filed under the name Hevea brasiliensis (rubber tree). The record is from RNAcentral. Lineage: Eukaryota; Viridiplantae; Streptophyta; Magnoliopsida; Malpighiales; Euphorbiaceae.